GAAAGAGGUCUGAAACUAAUAGAGACUGCUAAUCCCUAAAUCCACGGUUUAAUUCCGCGGCUCAUUCG
This 68-nucleotide transfer RNA is filed under the name Leptoderma macrophthalmum. RNAcentral's name for it is "tRNA-Ser (AGY)". Lineage: Eukaryota; Metazoa; Chordata; Actinopteri; Alepocephaliformes; Alepocephalidae. The record is from RNAcentral. RNAcentral also lists the same sequence under 1 other name.